This 394-nucleotide small RNA is filed under the name Histoplasma ohiense. RNAcentral describes it as "hypothetical lncRNA". Lineage: Eukaryota; Fungi; Ascomycota; Eurotiomycetes; Onygenales; Ajellomycetaceae. The record is from RNAcentral.
GUAACAAUUGGGCUCGAUAUCCCCGCCGAGGUAGACUAUUCGAUUCUGAGACAGAAUUCAAUAACUUUUUUGUUAUGCUACAUGAUCCUAAAUAUCCGUCUUCUUUGAAGGAGUAGGCGGGAUCUGGGAUGAAAGAUAAUCAUGAGAUUCAUUUUGCACGUGGUGAUUUUCCACCGCGCAAUAUCAUGGUUGGUGUAGAUAGUGGAGUGGUUACAGUUGUUGUGGACUGGGAGCGGGCGGGCUGGUGCUCUAAAUACUGGGAUCAUGAGUAGGGUACUCUCUGAGAACUCUGGAUUACGGGAUUGUUUCCCUUAUCCAAACACAUUUUUCCCUUCAACUGUGCACAGGAGGUUCUGGCGAUGGGAUAUUUGUUACGCAUUACGAGUGAUAGACC